GGAUGAACGCUGGCGGCGUGCCUAAUACAUGCAAGUCGAGCGAACAGAUAAGGAGCUUGCUCCUUUGACGUUAGCGGCGGACGGGUGAGUAACACGUGGGUAACCUACCUAUAAGACUGGGAUAACUUCGGGAAACCGGAGCUAAUACCGGAUAAUAUUUCGAACCGCAUGGUUCGAUAGUGAAAGAUGGUUUUGCUAUCACUUAUAGAUGGACCCGCGCCGUAUUAGCUAGUUGGUAAGGUAACGGCUUACCAAGGCGACGAUACGUAGCCGACCUGAGAGGGUGAUCGGCCACACUGGAACUGAGACACGGUCCAGACUCCUACGGGAGGCAGCAGUAGGGAAUCUUCCGCAAUGGGCGAAAGCCUGACGGAGCAACGCCGCGUGAGUGAUGAAGGUCUUCGGAUCGUAAAACUCUGUUAUUAGGGAAGAACAUACGUGUAAGUAACUGUGCACGUCUUGACGGUACCUAAUCAGAAAGCCACGGCUAACUACGUG
Molecule: ribosomal RNA, 498 nt
Filed under: uncultured bacterium
Lineage: Bacteria
Description: partial 16S ribosomal RNA
Rfam family: Bacterial small subunit ribosomal RNA
Source: RNAcentral